Molecule: ribosomal RNA, 253 nt
Filed under: uncultured bacterium
Lineage: Bacteria
Description: partial 16S ribosomal RNA
Rfam family: Archaeal small subunit ribosomal RNA
Source: RNAcentral
UACCAGCACCCCGAGUGGUCGGGACGAUUAUUGGGCCUAAAGCAUCCGUAGCCGGCCUUACAAGUCCUCCGUUAAAUCCAGCUGCUUAACAGAUGGGCUGCGGGGGAUACUACAGGGCUAGGAGGCGGGAGAGGCAAGCGGUACUUUAUGGGUAGGGGUAAAAUCCGUUGAUCCAUAGAAGACCACCAGUGGCGAAGGCGGCUUGCCAGAACGCGCUCGACGGUGAGGGAUGAAAGCUGGGGGAGCAAACCGG